GUGGUAGGAAGCCCAAGAAAAAUAAGGAAAGAUUGCAUGUUCAGGAUGCUAAGUGUGGAUCUGUUGAACGGAGUGGUGAAAAAGUGGAAAAGGUUGAAGAGGAAAGCCCAGCGAAUGGUCAGACGAUGAAAGAGAAAGGUGAAGUUGAAGAGGCUGCUGCGAAGUGUAUUCGUAGAAGAGGUAGAAAGAAAGGAAGCAGAAAUGGCGGCAAAGUUGCUGGCUUAAAUCAGAAACAAAAUGCUUUUGUGGCUGAGAAAGGAGCAGAAGACGGUGAGGAAUUGCAAGACAGUGUUGGAAAAGAUGGUGAGAAGUGGGACAAUAUGGGGAG
This 328-nucleotide unclassified non-coding RNA is filed under the name Hevea brasiliensis (rubber tree). The record is from RNAcentral. Lineage: Eukaryota; Viridiplantae; Streptophyta; Magnoliopsida; Malpighiales; Euphorbiaceae.